UGAGGCAGGAGAAUUGCUUGAACCCAGGAGGUGGAGGUUGCAGUGAGCCGAGAUCGUGCCACUGCACUCCAGCCUGGGUGACAGAGCGAGACUCCAUCUC
MicroRNA precursor from Gorilla gorilla gorilla (western lowland gorilla), 100 nucleotides. NCBI's taxonomy places the organism in Eukaryota, Metazoa, Chordata, Mammalia, Primates, Hominidae. The record is from Ensembl.